RNAcentral lists this transfer RNA (67 nucleotides) under Rattus norvegicus (Norway rat). It matches the Rfam family "tRNA". Rfam says of the family: Transfer RNA (tRNA) molecules are approximately 80 nucleotides in length. Their secondary structure includes four short double-helical elements and three loops (D, anti-codon, and T loops). Lineage: Eukaryota; Metazoa; Chordata; Mammalia; Rodentia; Muridae. The record is from Rfam by way of RNAcentral.
GGAUUUAGCUCAGCGGUAGAGCGCUUGCCUAGCAAGCACAAGGCCCUGGGUUCGGUCCCCAGAUCCG